Molecule: ribosomal RNA, 116 nt
Filed under: Pteropus alecto (black flying fox)
Lineage: Eukaryota; Metazoa; Chordata; Mammalia; Chiroptera; Pteropodidae
Source: RNAcentral
GUCUAUGGCCAUGCCACCCUGAACAAGCCCGAUGUCUGAUCUCGGAAGCUAAGCGGGGUCAGGCCUGAUUAGUACUUGGAUGGGAGGCCACCUAGGAAGACCAGGUGCUGUAGGCA